Molecule: non-coding RNA, 31 nt
Filed under: Rattus norvegicus (Norway rat)
Lineage: Eukaryota; Metazoa; Chordata; Mammalia; Rodentia; Muridae
Source: RNAcentral
UAAGGCAAGAGAAAGCAUUUUUGGAGUUGGC